Cercophora newfieldiana is the source of this 95-nucleotide non-coding RNA. Lineage: Eukaryota; Fungi; Ascomycota; Sordariomycetes; Sordariales; Lasiosphaeriaceae. The record is from the annotation of a GenBank genome assembly.
GGUUGUGUAGUGUAGUGGUCAUCACUUCAGAUUUUGAAACAAGCAAUUCGCUUUCCCAUCUUCUGAUAACCCCGGUUCGAACCCGGGCACGACCU